This is a non-coding RNA of Prunus mume (Japanese apricot), 1082 nucleotides long. Lineage: Eukaryota; Viridiplantae; Streptophyta; Magnoliopsida; Rosales; Rosaceae. The record is from RefSeq and is a predicted model, not a curated record.
AUUAGUAUAAAUGCGGAUUUGCCUUGUGUUAAUCGGCUUGAUAUUCUGCCCCACGCGGUUUAGCCGCCCGCGUUUGAGCCACCGCCUUCUAAGAAACAACCUCUCCAUUAAUUCUUCGCCAUUCUCAUAUGCGUCUGCUUCUCCUCUCUCUACUAUAAAUAUCUUCAUCUCUCAUCUCUAAACCCGUAACUCAAAACCUUCCAAGUAUUUCUCAUUCUAAACCCCUAACAUCUCAUAUUCUUUUGAAUUUCACAGCCUUUCUCCAAAGAUGAGUUCAACAAAUUCCACAGCAGCAUACCCUGCCCAAGCUCCCAACUCUGCCCAGCAAUAUCAUGUGCAAGCUCCACCUCCUGCAGGCUACCCAACAAGAGACGUGCCCCAGAACUCUGUUCCUGUAGAAACCAAGUCAAAGGGUGAUGGCUUCUGGAAAGGCUGCUGUGCUGCCUUGUGUUGCUGUUGCGCGUUGGAUGUUUGCUUUUGAUUGAAACAAGUCCACCCAAUAAUCUCAGUAUCUCUGAUCAUCAUCAUUUAUAUUUAUACAAUUCAGAGUUGAGUUUUAGUUUUUUGUGUGAUAUUGAAGAAGAGACCAUGUAGAUUGGAUACAGUUCCGGAUUGUCCAACUUUCGUCAUAUUUGUAUAAUAAUUGUUAUUCAUUUCAGAUAUCUGGCUGCUACUUUCUUUUUUCUUUUUUUUUUGUUCUUCUUCUUUGUAGUGGUGGUGGAUUUGUUUCUAUGUAUAUGGCCAGAUUUAAUCCCUUAAUAAUACAGAAUCGUGCUCUUUUUCUGUUUUAGUUCAAAGUCUUUUGUCAAUGUUCAAACAUUAGGUGAGAGUUGAUGGUGAUCAAUGGGGUAUGAAGAUCAUACGAGUAAACAUAAAGCAAUCAAGCCAGCGUGUUUGACAAACUUGUCAUUGAUAUUUUUGACAUGAGGUGAACGAGAUAAGGCCACGAAAUACACAAAUAAACCCUACAAAUAUAUCGUGGCGCACUCAAAUGGAUACGUCUACGUUGAGUUGUAUAGUUGUUUUCACUAUAAUUGUUGUAUGGUUGUUUUCACUAUAAUAGAGGGUUGUCACGUUGUACA